ACUCCUGCGGGAGGCAGCAGUGGGGAAUUUUGGACAAUGGGCGAAAGCCUGAUCCAGCAAUGCCGCGUGUGUGAAGAAGGCCUUCGGGUUGUAAAGCACUUUUGUCCGGAAAGAAAUCCUUGGCUCUAAUACAGUCGGGGGAUGACGGUACCGGAAGAAUAAGCACCGGCUAACUACGUGCCAGCAGCCGCGGUAAUACGUAGGGUGCGAGCGUUAAUCGGAAUUACUGGGCGUAAAGCGUGCGCAGGCGGUUUGCUAAGACCGAUGUGAAAUCCCCGGGCUCAACCUGGGAACUGCAUUGGUGACUGGCAGGCUAGAGUAUGGCAGAGGGGGGUAGAAUUCCACGUGUAGCAGUGAAAUGCGUAGAGAUGUGGAGGAAUACCGAUGGCGAAGGCAGCCCCCUGGGCCAAUACUGACGCUCAUGCACGAAAGCGUGGGGAGCAAACAGGAUUAGAUACCCCAGUAGUCCCA
This 471-nucleotide ribosomal RNA is filed under the name uncultured organism. RNAcentral's name for it is "partial 16S ribosomal RNA". It matches the Rfam family "Bacterial small subunit ribosomal RNA", at positions 335 to 797 of the family's 1533-position model. The record is from RNAcentral.